UUACUACUCCCUCUUUUUGUCACUAGUGAAAUGUAGAAGUGACAAUGAAUGCUAGUACACAAUAUCAUGAAGAAAUAAAAGUAACUAUUUCAUUUCAUAAAUUUGUUUUUACAGAUAUGCAUCAAUUAGAUGAAUAUUCUUUUUAUAAAACAAUGAUAAUGACAGUACACCAAGACACAUGAGUAAGAAAAUAAAAAUACAUAGAUAAGCAUCACAUCAACAGGCAUAGACUAAACCUAAUCUGCAUCUGAAGGUAAAUCUAUGGUAGCGGAUGUGCUGGCCCUAGAUGAAGAUGCCCCUCCUAUCCUGCUCCUAAUCGUACUAGAGGGAUGAAUAGCCUGAGUGGAGAAUCCUAUGUCAGACCUAGUAUAUGAUCUAAAUAAGGGUCUUGGGGUAGGCUGACCGGGGUGAGAGUGCUGGCUAAGUUGGAUGGGUUGGGUAGAGUGGCUAUGCUAGGAUGAGGGGCGAGAGGAUGAACUGCACCUAUAGCCACGAGCUGCUGCUACUACUGCUACUACCAUUGGUGCGAGCGUCUCCAAUUGCUCCACAAAAUGACCCAUGG
Molecule: long non-coding RNA, 562 nt
Filed under: Elaeis guineensis (African oil palm)
Lineage: Eukaryota; Viridiplantae; Streptophyta; Magnoliopsida; Arecales; Arecaceae
Description: long non-coding RNA (EGUI_LNC066652)
Source: RNAcentral